This 447-nucleotide ribosomal RNA is filed under the name uncultured bacterium. Its description in RNAcentral is "bacterial SSU rRNA". It matches the Rfam family "Bacterial small subunit ribosomal RNA", at positions 28 to 455 of the family's 1533-position model. The record is from RNAcentral.
GAUGAACGCUGGCGGCGUGCUUAACACAUGCAAGUCGAACGAAGCACUUUAUUUGAUUUCCUUCGGGACUGAUUAUUUUGUGACUGAGUGGCGGACGGGUGAGUAACGCGUGGGUAACCUGCCUUGUACAGGGGGAUAACAGUUGGAAACGGCUGCUAAUACCGCAUAAGCGCACGGCAUCGCAUGAUGCAGUGUGAAAAACUCCGGUGGUAUAAGAUGGACCCGCGUUGGAUUAGCUAGUUGGUGAGGUAACGGCCCACCAAGGCGACGAUCCAUAGCCGACCUGAGAGGGUGACCGGCCACAUUGGGACUGAGACACGGCCCAAACUCCUACGGGAGGCAGCAGUGGGGAAUAUUGCACAAUGGGCGAAAGCCUGAUGCAGCGACGCCGCGUGAGCGAAGAAGUAUUUCGGUAUGUAAAGCUCUAUCAGCAGGGAAGAUAAUGAC